GCAGUCGUGGCUGAGUGGUUAAGGCGAUGGACCAGAAAUCCAUUGGGGUCUCCCCGCACAGGUUCGAAUCCUGUCGACUGCA
RNAcentral lists this transfer RNA (82 nucleotides) under Ixodes scapularis (black-legged tick). It matches the Rfam family "tRNA". Rfam says of the family: Transfer RNA (tRNA) molecules are approximately 80 nucleotides in length. The record is from Rfam by way of RNAcentral. Lineage: Eukaryota; Metazoa; Arthropoda; Arachnida; Ixodida; Ixodidae.